Long non-coding RNA from Cucurbita maxima (winter squash), 1831 nucleotides. RefSeq lists it as uncharacterized. NCBI's taxonomy places the organism in Eukaryota, Viridiplantae, Streptophyta, Magnoliopsida, Cucurbitales, Cucurbitaceae. The transcript is spliced from 6 exons. The record is from RefSeq and is a predicted model, not a curated record.
UGAGCCCAUCUAAGUCCAAAGCAGAGAACAAAGUAGGCCCACUUCUCAUAUUGGACCUUUCUUUCAUGGAAGAGCGAACGCGGAGCCUUCGCUCGUUUGAGGAAUUGGGAAAUGGGAAUGAAGAAAUCGGAGAAUUUCAGCGUUCAUAAUCCUGAAAUAAAUAGGAUUUUUGUGAAGAUGUAGGCCGGGAAUUCCUGUCAGGUUUGGCAUCUGAGUUAGCGACGUUUCUGUUCGGAAUUCAGUCACUAGAGCUGUUCUCAAGCAUCUAUCAAAUUUUGAUGGCCUUUACAGGUCUGGAAGAAAAUGAUGAGAAGGAUAAAAGAAUAAACCCAGGUGGUGUUCAAUAUAUCGAUUCAGAGCUACCAGAAACAAGAAACAAGCAAUAACCUCCACCAACUUGAGAUGUUCUCUUUCCUCCAAAUGCUAAAUCCUUGAAAUUAGGAAGGAAAACAGAUAUCUAGUUGGGGGCAGACAAAAUCACAAGAAUGGCUUCAAGCAGUUCAAAUUUGGUUCUUAUAUGGUGAUAUAGUAUUAGUUCAAACCAGACUGGCUUCGCAUUAAGUAACCACUAACUGGCUGUAUGUUGUAAUGCAGAUCACAGAUUUUAAAUUUGUUGAUAGAAUACCAGACUUUAUGUGACUAAAGAUGUGGAAAUUUUGCGUAUGCCGGAUGGUGAAACUUAGAUAUUGAAUCGUCGAAUUUCAAAGUUCCUCACUGAUGUGAAGCCUAUCAAUCGAACAUGGUCAUAUAUUUGGAUAAAUAGUUUUCACCGCUGCUAGACUGAAUCUUUAUACUAAUGACAUUUCAGGUUUCCUUCUUCUAGGCCCGUUAGUGUUUUUUAUAAACUCCGGGUUUGCUUGAUCACUUCUCGCCUUUCAGUAUAUUAAAUUUUCAUGACGAUAGGCCAGAUGAACAUGUUUGCUCGGAGUUGUCUUUUAGAUGUACAUGAGGCUGGAUUUAGGGGAGAUAGGUAGAUGUCUACAUCUACAGCAUCAAUUUCCUUGGUUUGAUUACAGCAGGCUUGAACAAGUCAUCAGUUCCUUCUUCAGAUUUUCGAUCUUGCAAUUAAAAUUCUCAGCAUCAGUUUAUUUCCCUCCGAUGGAUCUCUAAGACAUGACAAGGAGAAGUGCAAGGAUUUAAAGAAGAUGGUGUCCUUGCAUGUGAAAGGAAGGAAGAACAGUAGCUAGGCAGAAUAGAGACUGUUGUUGAAGUAAUCAGAACUGAAACAAUUUGAUUUUCCAUUGAGGUUUACUUGAAAACAUAGUGAGGAAAAACAUGAAGGAUAGGAACCACGAACCUCCACAAUGGAUCUCACGAUAUGGUUGAUGGAUGCACAUCUGUUCCCAAAUUCUAUUAUGAAACCUCACCUCUUGGGUCAUCUUAAAGGCCAACCAGCAAUAGGGUCCACUAUUUUGGGCCUCUUAUCUUGCUUAAAAAUUAAAGUUUUCCAUGAAGCGAAGCUUGUACUGUUUCUUGGGGUCCUUUCCAAUUUCAGCUCAAUCAAUUUUAGCAGCUCUUGUGAUUACAUGUUUCUUUGAAGCUUAAACCAAGUAAUGGACAUUGAAGACCUAAUCAAGACACAUAAAAUCAAACCCAUUUGGCGAAAUAUAGGAAAGAAGAAAGAAAAGUAGAAAGAAGACCCAAUCGGGGUUAACUUCAUUUUAGUCUACAAGUUGUUGUAAUGAUAUUGUUGCCUUCUUUACCAAACCCAUUUGUGAAGAAGCUAGACCCUAAAAAUGCCUAAAAAAAAGGGGAUUUACACUUUGGAUUGACAAGAAAAUUUGAGGCCUCUAUUUGGUUUUGGUUAAACAUAUUCAAUCACUCUCUCUCU